GUCGAACGGUAACAGGUAAGUACUUGUACUUAUGCUGACGAGUGGCGGACGGGUGAGUAAUGCUUGGGGAUCUGGCUUAUGGAGGGGGAUAACGACGGGAAACUGUCGCUAAUACCGCGUAGAAUCGGGAGAUGAAAGUGUGGGACCUUCGGGCCACAUGCCAUAGGAUGAACCCAAGUGGGAUUAGGUAGUUGGUGGGGUAAUGGCCUACCAAGCCGACGAUCUCUAGCUGGUCUGAGAGGAUGACCAGCCACACCGGGACUGAGACACGGCCCGGACUCCUACGGGAGGCAGCAGUGGGGAAUAUUGCGCAAUGGGGGCAACCCUGACGCAGCCAUGCCGCGUGAAUGAAGAAGGCCUUCGGGUUGUAAAGUUCUUUCGGUGACGAGGAAGGUUGUUGUGUUAAUAGCGCA
This 413-nucleotide ribosomal RNA is filed under the name Aggregatibacter aphrophilus. RNAcentral describes it as "bacterial SSU rRNA". It matches the Rfam family "Bacterial small subunit ribosomal RNA", at positions 61 to 469 of the family's 1533-position model. The record is from RNAcentral. Lineage: Bacteria; Pseudomonadati; Pseudomonadota; Gammaproteobacteria; Pasteurellales; Pasteurellaceae.